AGAUUAAGUUAUUAAGGGCGCACGGUGGAUGCCUUGGCACUAGAAGCCGAUGAAGGACGUUACUAACGACGAUAUGCUUUGGGGAGCUGUAAGUAAGCUUUGAUCCAGAGAUUUCCGAAUGGGGAAACCCAGCAUGAGUUAUGUCAUGUUAUCGAUAUGUGAAUACAUAGCAUAUCAGAAGGCACACCCGGAGAACUGAAACAUCUUAGUACCCGGAGGAAGAGAAAGAAAAUUCGAUUCCCUUAGUAGCGGCGAGCGAAACGGGAAGAGCCCAAACCAACAAGCUUGCUUGUUGGGGUUGUAGGACACUCUAUACGGAGUUACAAAGGACGACAUUAGACGAAUCAUCUGGAAAGAUGAAUCAAAGAAGGUAAUAAUCCUGUAGUCGAAAAUGUUGUCUCUCUUGAGUGGAUCCUGAGUACGACGGAGCACGUGAAAUUCCGUCGGAAUCUGGGAGGACCAUCUCCUAAGGCUAAAUACUCUCUAGUGACCGAUAGUGAACCAGUACCGUGAGGGAAAGGUGAAAAGCACCCCGGAAGGGGAGUGAAAUAGAACCUGAAACCGUGUGCUUACAAGUAGUCAGAGCCCGUUAAUGGGUGAUGGCGUGCCUUUUGUAGAAUGAACCGGCGAGUUACGAUUUGAUGCAAGGUUAAGCAGUAAAUGUGGAGCCGUAGCGAAAGCGAGUCUGAAUAGGGCGUUUAGUAUUUGGUCGUAGACCCGAAACCAGGUGAUCUACCCUUGGUCAGGUUGAAGUUCAGGUAACACUGAAUGGAGGACCGAACCGACUUACGUUGAAAAGUGAGCGGAUGAACUGAGGGUAGCGGAGAAAUUCCAAUCGAACCUGGAGAUAGCUGGUUCUCUCCGAAAUAGCUUUAGGGCUAGCCUCAAGUGAUGAUUAUUGGAGGUAGAGCACUGUUUGGACGAGGGGCCCCUCUCGGGUUACCGAAUUCAGACAAACUCCGAAUGCCAAUUAAUUUAACUUGGGAGUCAGAACAUGGGUGAUAAGGUCCGUGUUCGAAAGGGAAACAGCCCAGACCACCAGCUAAGGUCCCAAAAUAUAUGUUAAGUGGAAAAGGAUGUGGCGUUGCCCAGACAACUAGGAUGUUGGCUUAGAAGCAGCCAUCAUUUAAAGAGUGCGUAAUAGCUCACUAGUCGAGUGACACUGCGCCGAAAAUGUACCGGGGCUAAACAUAUUACCGAAGCUGUGGAUUGUCCUUUGGACAAUGGUAGGAGAGCGUUCUAAGGGCGUUGAAGCAUGAUCGUAAGGACAUGUGGAGCGCUUAGAAGUGAGAAUGCCGGUGUGAGUAGCGAAAGACGGGUGAGAAUCCCGUCCACCGAUUGACUAAGGUUUCCAGAGGAAGGCUCGUCCGCUCUGGGUUAGUCGGGUCCUAAGCUGAGGCCGACAGGCGUAGGCGAUGGAUAACAGGUUGAUAUUCCUGUACCACCUAUAAUCGUUUUAAUCGAUGGGGGGACGCAGUAGGAUAGGCGAAGCGUGCGAUUGGAUUGCACGUCUAAGCAGUAAGGCUGAGUAUUAGGCAAAUCCGGUACUCGUUAAGGCUGAGCUGUGAUGGGGAGAAGACAUUGUGUCUUCGAGUCGUUGAUUUCACACUGCCGAGAAAAGCCUCUAGAUAGAAAAUAGGUGCCCGUACCGCAAACCGACACAGGUAGUCAAGAUGAGAAUUCUAAGGUGAGCGAGCGAACUCUCGUUAAGGAACUCGGCAAAAUGACCCCGUAACUUCGGGAGAAGGGG
Molecule: ribosomal RNA, 1750 nt
Filed under: Staphylococcus aureus
Lineage: Bacteria; Bacillati; Bacillota; Bacilli; Caryophanales; Staphylococcaceae
Description: partial 23S ribosomal RNA
Rfam family: Bacterial large subunit ribosomal RNA
Source: RNAcentral